Molecule: ribosomal RNA, 253 nt
Filed under: uncultured bacterium
Lineage: Bacteria
Description: partial 16S ribosomal RNA
Rfam family: Bacterial small subunit ribosomal RNA
Source: RNAcentral
UACGGAGGGUGCAAGCGUUAUCCGGAUUUAUUGGGCUUAAAGGGUGCGUAGGCGGGUUGGUAAGUCAGUGGUGAAAUACUUUCGCUUAACGAAGGAACUGCCAUUGAUACUACCAGUCUUGAAUACAGUGGAGGUAGGCGGAAUGCGUCAUGUAGCGGUGAAAUGCUUAGAUAUGACGCAGAACACCAAUUGCGAAGGCGGCUUGCUGCACUGUUAUUGACACUGAGGCACGAAAGCGUGGGGAUCAAACAGG